GGGGAGGCUUUUGCUUUUUUUUUUUAAUUUAAUUAUUUAUUUUAUUAAAUUUUAUGUGGUGUCACAUCAUAACAACACCGUUACUUUUUUCGUUAAUAAAUAAGUAAUUUGACUCGAAAAUGGAACAAUGAAGACAAAAUUGUUCCAAAAAAAAAUUAAAGAUCGAAUUGUCUAAAAAAUAAACGUUGAGGGCAAUUUUUGCCAUUAUGCCAAUUGUC
Molecule: long non-coding RNA, 218 nt
Filed under: Gossypium raimondii (Peruvian cotton)
Lineage: Eukaryota; Viridiplantae; Streptophyta; Magnoliopsida; Malvales; Malvaceae
Description: long non-coding RNA (GRAI_LNC004098)
Source: RNAcentral